Cyprinus carpio carpio is the source of this 1984-nucleotide long non-coding RNA. The record is from Ensembl. NCBI's taxonomy places the organism in Eukaryota, Metazoa, Chordata, Actinopteri, Cypriniformes, Cyprinidae.
CUAUAAUUCAACUAAGCUUUGCAGUGUACUGAAUGUAAUAUUUUAUAUAUAAAAAUUAUAAAGUAUUGUAUUCUCACUCACCCAUAUCUGUCAAAUUGCUAGGCAGUUGUAAGGUGUUGUGAUGUUCCUGUGGUCCCGCCACUUCCUCUUCCCCAACUGCAUCCGGGUUAAGAUAAUCUAAAACCAACCCCCAUUUAAUUGCACAGUAAAACCACUCACAUAAUUACUGUUGAUCAGGAUAUACCUUCAUCUGCAGAAACAUAGUAUGUGACUUUGUCUUGAUUGUUGUAGAUAGCUGCUUCUACAUUCUCAUAUGACUGCGUCUCAUCUGUCGAAACAAGCAACAACUGUGCUUUUUAGGGUUUAUUUUUGUGGUACGUCAAUCAUUUUUUUCAUAGACAUAUUAUGUUGAACACUAUGAUUUGAGAUUUGAACACUGUAGUAUUUUACCCUUCUUGUUGUUUUCAGCAUUCUCCAUACACCUCUGAGUACCGCUCUCAGUGUGCCUGUGACAACACACACAUUCAAAAACAUGAAAUAACCAUCUUCUUUAACUAUGUACGUGAACAGAACAAUCCCAAUCAGAAAGGCUGACGCAGGAACUGUGUAGAGUAACCAGUCAGUGAUGGCCUUGCCUGUUGUGUUCAUCCUGAAGCAUCAGAAAGAAAACCGCGUGAUGUAUACGCAAAGAUGGGCAAACCAGAACUGACAGUAAAAGAGAAGAGGAGAAGGACAGAGGAGGCGGAAGAGAUGAAAGGAAGGAGUAACAGAGAAAAACAUCAAAUGUAAAAAAGGAGAAGUGAGAAAGUAAAUAUGUUGUAAACAAUCCUCACAAUGUACAUAACUGUUUUCACAAACUUUCACGUUACUCAGUGGUUCUCAGUCUUUUUAUACCAAGAAGCGCGAUAAUGACCAACAUCAAAAUAGUCACGUAGUAGUCCUUACUAUUCAACUACAGCUCUGUUUUAUUCCUAAUAAGAAUAUUUAUGGUUGUCAGCCACUUUAAUAUUUUAAAUACACAGUUUGAACAUUAACACUGCACUGUGCUUACAUACAGGUAAAUAAAAAACGUAAAAAAUUAUGAAUUAAAAUGUGUUGUACCUAAAUGUUAAAUAAAAACUGUACUGUAAUUAAAUGUAAUCACAGAAUUAAUAAACCUGAAGUGCAUUGACAUUUUAGGAUUAUCUACUGUUCUUUCUGUCUCUCUGUCAAAAUCAAAAAUUUGCUUUAUUGGCAUGACUGUAAAAAUAGCUACAAUAGUGCCAAGGAAUUGCCUCUGUGGAGAAAUAUACAGUAGCCUAGUCAAAAUUUGAAGUAGAUCAAAACCUAUCAUCGAAGUUGUCCUAAAACCUAAAACCAAAAACCAAAAUGCGUUCUUGUCUUAAGACAACUUUGAUGAACUUUUUUGAUCCACUUCAAAUGCUGACUACAGUGAUAACAUUUAAGUUGUAGUACCAUUUCCCAACCACCAACUGGUGAACCCCCAAAGUGUUGUCUAUGAUUACAUUUAAUUGUUGUCUUUGUAUCACUUUUUUUGUUUUGAGAUAUUGCAUAAUAUAUUCAAAAAGGCGGAGGAAAGAGGAGAUGCACCAGUUACCAUAGGUGCUAAAUGUUAGCAUAAAUCCUUUUAUUUUCAGAAAAUCAGACAGGUACAAAACAAUACUUUUCAGCUAAAUAGGAUGCCAGAAAUACUUUCAUCCAGAUUUUAAUUAUAUUUUUCUUGUAUGUUUUUUCUGUGUCCACUACAGUGGACUUCAUGCACUAAAGGGGUGGGCCUGGCUAGAUUCUACCUUAUUAUAUAUGUUUUAUUAAAAUUAUGAUAUAAUUAACACUUGAAUGGUUUUAUUGAACAGAAAUAUUAAACAGACUUCAGACUGUAUAAUUUAUAGCAAUGCUAUAUUAGGUCAUAUAAAAGUGUAGGCAGGUAUAGAUGAGUGCAUGAUUGUGCUCAAGUGUGUGGUGGGAUGGUGUGUGUGUGUGUGUG